Molecule: ribosomal RNA, 253 nt
Filed under: uncultured bacterium
Lineage: Bacteria
Description: partial 16S ribosomal RNA
Rfam family: Bacterial small subunit ribosomal RNA
Source: RNAcentral
UACGUAGGGGGCAAGCGUUGUCCGGAAUCAUUGGGCGUAAAGCGCGUGUAGGCGGCCACGUUAGUCCGUUCUGAAAGCCCGGGGCUCAACCCCGGGAGGCGGAUGGAUACUGCGUGGCUCGAGUCCGGAAGAGGCGAGUGGAAGUCCUGGUGUAGCGGUGAAAUGCGCAGAUAUCAGGAGGAACACCAAUGGCGAAGGCAGCUCGCUGGGACGUGACUGACGCUGAGACGCGAAAGUGUGGGGAGCAAACAGG